This 481-nucleotide ribosomal RNA is filed under the name uncultured bacterium. RNAcentral's name for it is "partial 16S ribosomal RNA". It matches the Rfam family "Bacterial small subunit ribosomal RNA", at positions 28 to 507 of the family's 1533-position model. The record is from RNAcentral.
GACGAACGUUGGCGGCGUGCUUAAUACAUGCAAGUCAACUGAAGCAGUGGUAGCAAUCUCGCUGUGGAGGUGGCGCACGGGUGAGUAACACGUAGGUAAUCUGCCUUCAGGUCUGGCAUAACUCCGGGAAACCGGGGCUAAUAGCAGAUGAUGCAGCGGCUCGACAUCGAGACAGUUGUUAAAGCUAUGGCGCCUGAAGAUGAGCCUGCGUCUGAUUAGCUAGUUGGCGGGGUAACGGCCCACCAAGGCAACGAUCAGUAGCUGGUCUGAGAGGAUGAUCAGCCACACUGGAACUGAGACACGGUCCAGACUCCUACGGGAGGCAGCAGUAAGGAAUAUUGCUCAAUGGGAGAAAUCCUGAAGCAGCAACGCCGCGUGAGGGACGAAGGGCUUUUGCUUGUAAACCUCUGUAGUGAGAGAAAAAAAUCCCAAUCUUUGGGACAUGAUGGUAUCUCAAAAGUAAGCCCCGGCUAACUACGUG